ACGGACCUACGGGACGCAGCAGUGGGGAAUAUUGGGCAAUGGGCGCAAGCCUGACCCAGCAACGCCGCGUGAAGGAAGAAGGCUUUCGGGUUGUAAACUUCUUUUCUCAGGGACGAAGCAAGUGACGGUACCUGAGGAAUAAGCCACGGCUAACUACGUGCCAGCAGCCGCGGUAAUACGUAGGUGGCAAGCGUUAUCCGGAUUUACUGGGUGUAAAGGGCGUGUAGGCGGGGAAGCAAGUCAGAUGUGAAAACCAUUGGCGCAACCUGUGGGCUGCCUUUGAAACUGUUUUUCUUGAG
Molecule: ribosomal RNA, 299 nt
Filed under: uncultured bacterium
Lineage: Bacteria
Description: partial 16S ribosomal RNA
Rfam family: Bacterial small subunit ribosomal RNA
Source: RNAcentral